Molecule: ribosomal RNA, 120 nt
Filed under: Solemya velum (Atlantic awning clam)
Lineage: Eukaryota; Metazoa; Mollusca; Bivalvia; Solemyida; Solemyidae
Source: RNAcentral
GUCUACGGCCAUACCACGUUGAAAGCACCGGUUCUCGUCCGAUCACCGAAGUUAAGCAACGUCGGGCCCGGUUAGUACUUGGAUGGGUGACCGCCUGGGAAUACCGGGUGCAGUAGACUU